This 468-nucleotide ribosomal RNA is filed under the name uncultured bacterium. RNAcentral's name for it is "partial 16S ribosomal RNA". It matches the Rfam family "Bacterial small subunit ribosomal RNA", at positions 28 to 507 of the family's 1533-position model. The record is from RNAcentral.
GACGAACGCUGGCGGCGUGCUUAACACAUGCAAGUCGAACGGAAAGGCCCUGCUUUUGUGGGGUGCUCGAGUGGCGAACGGGUGAGUAACACGUGAGUAACCUGCCCUUGACUUUGGGAUAACUUCACGAAAAUGGGGCUAAUACAGGAUAGGAGAUCCUGCUGCAUGGUGGGGGUUGGAAAGUUUCGGCGGUUGGGGAUGGACUCGCGGCUUAUCCGCUUGUUGGUGGGGUAGUGGCUUACCAAGUCUUUGAAGGAUAGCCGGCCUGGGAGGUUGGCCGGCCACAUUACGACUGAGGUACGGCCCAGUCUCCUACGCGAGGCAGCAGUGGGGAAUAUGGCACAAUGAGCGGAAGCCUGAUGCGGCAACGCCCCGUUCGGGAAGACGGCCUUCGAGUUGUGAACAGCUUUCGCCUGUGACGAAGAGUGAGUGACGGUAAUGGGUAAAGAAGCACCGGCUAACUACGUG